This is a long non-coding RNA of Vigna unguiculata (cowpea), 267 nucleotides long. The record is from RefSeq and is a predicted model, not a curated record. Lineage: Eukaryota; Viridiplantae; Streptophyta; Magnoliopsida; Fabales; Fabaceae.
AAUUGCCUCCUGAGUUGACUAUGUUCAAUCCUGCACCGGUUUCUGAUCAAGGAAGUGUGCCAACUAAUACAACAAGUUCUGGACAUGAGGAAAAUCAUAUGUGAUAGUUGAAGAAUAUAAUAUAAUGUGGAAGUUAAUUGAAUCAUUUUAUGUUUUGAGAACUAUUGUAGUACUUCAUGAUAGUUUUUGCUGACUAAUAUUGUACUUGAAUUUGAAUUUGAAUUCGUAUAUUUGUUAUACUUUGAUAUACAUUUAGUCAUCUAUAAA